CUGUGUGCGGUUCCUUGACCACUCUCCAGAACUCCGAUGCAAGUGAAAUCGUCAAUGGAGCAGUUGAAAAAUGUGCCAACGCAUGUUUGACAGUCUGCACCAAA
Molecule: non-coding RNA, 104 nt
Organism: Camelina sativa (false flax)
Lineage: Eukaryota; Viridiplantae; Streptophyta; Magnoliopsida; Brassicales; Brassicaceae
Source: RefSeq, a predicted model, not a curated record